UCAAAGGAGCCCAGAGAGAGACGAGGUAGGU
RNAcentral lists this non-coding RNA (31 nucleotides) under Homo sapiens (human). Lineage: Eukaryota; Metazoa; Chordata; Mammalia; Primates; Hominidae. The record is from RNAcentral.